AGCUAGUUUGUGUCGACCAGCAUGGUGUUUCUAUUUUUUUUUUUUUUUGUGGUUCUAGGACCAACAAGAAUGUUGAUACAGGAACAUAUCCGUCUUGUUUAAAUCAUUGUUAUCUGCUUCCAGUGAUUUCCUUCCCUCUUUAAUUAAUCUUUAUCUGUUUUUUUUGUUUUUUUUUUACAGGAUGAUGAAAGGGUAAGAUACCAGCAGCAUUAGUAUUCUUACUUUUUUUAAUAUGUAAUUUGAUUUGUGAUUGGUUUAGUUUAUUUUUUAUGUGCAAUGUGUUAUAUAUUCCUAGUGUCCUUCGGAUCGCUCUCCUGGUGUAGAAGGCUGUGAUUGUCCUAGUGGUAAACCUGGUCUACCCGGUCUACCUGGGCCUAUGGGCUUCAGAGGGGAGAAAGGCAGAGAAGGACCCCCUGGCCCUGAUGGCAAACCUGGGAAACCAGGAGAAAAGGGAGCAUCUGGAGAGCCUGGUCGAGAUGGACAGAAAGGUGAAGGAGGCGAACCAGGACAAAAGGGGGAGCGAGGGCUGGAAGGACCCAAAGGAGAAAUGGGACCACCAGGGCCUUCAGGACCAACAGGCACUGGAUUUUCCAAACUGGAUUUAGAUGACUUGGGAAUUCAAGGAAGCAAGGGAAUCCCAGGAGAACCAGGGGAAAUGGGACCACCCGGAAAACCUGGACUGAAUGGUGAACCUGGGACAUCUGGUCUACCUGGACAUGCUGGUCCCAAGGUAAGACAGAUUUCAGACUGACGUAUAUCCAAAACUCUUAUAAUUCAACUACCACUACUCCUGAAAUCAUAAUCAGUCACAAAUAGGGAUGUUUGAUGAUGGAGGCAUAUUAAAACAGCUUUAAAAAGGCAACAGCCUCCAAUACUGCAAAAAG
Molecule: long non-coding RNA, 884 nt
Organism: Cyprinus carpio (common carp)
Lineage: Eukaryota; Metazoa; Chordata; Actinopteri; Cypriniformes; Cyprinidae
Source: Ensembl